AACCGAAUAAGAAGAGGUWAAGCUGAAGAGAGCCGUCUAUUGACAGUUCGUUUCUAUACUUAUGUACUGUCAUGGAGUCGCUCUCUUCAGAUGAUCCUUUCAAGGUUU
This 108-nucleotide microRNA precursor is filed under the name Caenorhabditis remanei. RNAcentral describes it as "mir-46". Lineage: Eukaryota; Metazoa; Nematoda; Chromadorea; Rhabditida; Rhabditidae. The record is from RNAcentral.